This 51-nucleotide non-coding RNA is filed under the name Thalassiosira minuscula. The record is from RNAcentral. Lineage: Eukaryota; Bacillariophyta; Thalassiosirophyceae; Thalassiosirales; Thalassiosiraceae.
UUUUUUUUUUUUUUUUUUUUUUUUUUUUUGCAGAAAGAUAACUUUUUAAUU